RNAcentral lists this ribosomal RNA (465 nucleotides) under uncultured bacterium. RNAcentral's name for it is "partial 16S ribosomal RNA". It matches the Rfam family "Bacterial small subunit ribosomal RNA", at positions 28 to 507 of the family's 1533-position model. The record is from RNAcentral.
GAUGAACGCUGGCGGCGUGCUUAACACAUGCAAGUCGAACGGAAAGGCUCCUGCUUGCAGGGGUACUCGAGUGGCGAACGGGUGAGUAACACGUGGGUGAUCUGCCCUGCACUUCGGGAUAAGCCUGGGAAACUGGGUCUAAUACCGGAUAGGACGAUGGUUUGGAUGCCAUUGUGGAAAGUUUUUCGGUGUGGGAUGAGCUCGCGGCCUAUCAGCUUGUUGGUGGGGUAAUGGCCUACCAAGGCGUCGACGGGUAGCCGGCCUGAGAGGGUGUACGGCCACAUUGGGACUGAGAUACGGCCCAGACUCCUACGGGAGGCAGAAGUGGGGAAUAUUGCACAAUGGGCGAAAGCCUGAUGCAGCGACGCCGCGUGGGGGAUGAAGGCCUUCGGGUUGUAAACUCCUUUCGCUAGGGACGAAGCGCAAGUGACGGUACCUGGAGAAGAAGCACCGGCUAACUACGUG